CCCUCAUAAACGCUAUAAUGCAAUAUGUUUUCACAUUAUAUUUUCUUGCUGUUAUUUUCUUUCUGUUUAGCAUUUUAUCUAAUUUUGAACGAAUUGUCACUUGUUUGUAUUGAAGAAAAUGAUAUGAUUAUCUUAUUUUGAAAACAUGUAGUCACACGUAAUAUAUUACUAAACGUUGUUUUAACUUUUAACAACACAUUUUCAGUGGUAUGCUGCGAUUGUAUUUACAUUAUAUGACAUUUACAGAUCAUUCAAUCGAUUAGGGGAGAAGAAGUGGAGUAUGGAACGUAGGCCUACACACCGUAGGUGUCGAUAAUGGUGUGUCUGGAUGAGUCCACUGAAAGGUGUUUGGUAUUUAGUAGUUUUGUAUGCCAUAACCUUGUAGAACUAUCAAAAACCACCAGCAUGGCCCGCGGACUUUUGCCAUUGAGAAGCGCAACAUCGGGUUAGUUAUAAAAACCAACAUUAACACGGCAAUAGUGAGGCUAGACCAAUCAUAGACUAAUAGACUAAACAGUAAGGUCAGGUAAGUGAAAGGCAUUGUUGAUUUGAUUUGAUUUUAUAGAAUGUGUCUUUUCUUGUUGAAGGUGGAUAUAGGCCUACUUUCUUGUGACAUGUUUCCAUGGCAAACAUUCAUAGCCUACUUAAACUGUGGAAUAUAAUUUCACAUGAUUCACUAAAUGCUAGGCUUUUCGACCAGUCAAGUUCGAAUGUUAAAGAAACUUCGUCAUUUGCGGAAGGAAAAAAAAAAUACAACCAUUAGGCCAAUACUUUAUUACGAUUCAUAUUUUUACAGUGAAUAUCAUAUGCCUAUAGAGUUGGUUGAUGGUAAGGUCCCAACACCUAUAGUUUAUGCCUACCAAUGUAACCCACACAAUCACGAGGCCAAUUCUGAGUGUUUGUGUCUGCAAUUCCCCGAUCAAGAACGUUGUACUUAAGGCUGUGUUUGAGCAAUGGUAAUAGCCAAUUAGUGUACAGUCUGACCGCAGUUGCUGAAAUAAAGUAACAGAAAAAACACUAUUUUGCAAAUAUUUUAUUUUCAGUAACACAUUUGGUAGGCUACAUAUAGACUACUGCUACUCCAUAUUUUAAGUCUUUGGAAUGCAAAAGGUUUAAACCCACACGGAGACAGAUAAUGAUUUCCUAUGUAUAUAUAUCAUUCAACUAAUUACAUAAACCAAGGCAGACAUUAUGCUCAAUUUAUUUGUUUUAGGGGUUCCACAGUAAGCCUAUGCGCAUAUAGGCCCAGUUGAUGUUGUGGUUUUAUUUAGGCCUAGCCUAUAGGCCUAUGUGUUAGCUCGGUGAGUGCACAUGGACCUUUGUAUCUUAACUUUUGUUUUUAACUUUAACUUCAACCUAAAUAAUUUAUCAUGUUGAGCAAAAUGAGUGUGUCAAUUUGUAUUUGUUCACAUGACCGAAUUAGGUGCACAAGUCACUAGUGCUAUAGUCUACCCAGCUAGCACAUAACGUUCUGAGAACAAUAUGUUUCUCAGAGCUUGGCGAGAGCAGGAUUGUCUUAUGGUUAUUUUUGCAUGCAACCUUCCCACAACUUUCUGGGAAUGGUGCAGGAUAGUUGCUUGGCUUUGGAACAUUCUCAGCACAUUUAAGGAACUUGAAAAAAAAAAGUAAUUUCAUUACUAUUAACAAAACAUUUCCUAAAAGUUCAAAAAUGGUUUACAUUUCAUUUCCAUUUUGGUAAUGUUCUAGGAGCAUUCUCCAGCUGGUUUGACAGAAUGUUCUCAAAUAGUUCAGAGAACUUUAAGAAACAACAUUCUUCUGUGAGAAUUUCUGUACUUCAGUGUAAUAUUUCCUACAGGUUUCCUCAUGGUUCUAUUUAAAGUAAUGUUCUCAACUUGUUCAAAGAAUGUUAAGAAAACUUUCCAUCUAGAAGAAAAAUAAACGCACACCUAUUAAGGCGAGGUGCUGUCUAGCGGAGUAGGAAACUUGAAAAUAAAGGAGAGAUGCACACUCUAGGAGCUCAGAUACAAAAAAGUAAUAUCCAAUGUUUCGACAGCCAAGCUGUCUUCAUCAGGAUAUAAUCACAAACACUGCGGGAUGACUCGUUUAUAGAGUGUCAAAAGACACACAGGUGUCUGUAAUCAUGGCCAAGAGUGGCCUAAUAUCAUUGGUUAAUUCUCAAAUAUUAAAAUGGCAUACAAAGAACAGCAUACAAAAAACAAAUGGAUAGCAACCUAAAAAAUAUACCGAACACGCAAAAAGUUUACUUCUGUUCUCGGAACAUUUAAAGAAAAGUUCAAUUUUACAGGUCAGGAAACUUCCUUCCCACAACCAAUGUGAAACCUAAAACAUAAGUUCUCACAACUUCCAAGGAACCAAAUGUGCUAGCUGCGUAUAGCCUGCCAACAUUGCCUGGAUAUGUGGUGUAGGACCUACACUUUAUAUGAGAGAGCAUAUCGAGUAAAAAAACACAAAUUAUUUAAAAUGUAUCGGAUACAAGAUGUUUGUCCCCCUGCCAUACCAUAUGCUGUUAUAAAUCUGCUCUACAUGUCCCUUGAUUCUUUUCAUCAUUCCCCUUCCAUCUCUCUUUCUCUGUGUAACUGCUCUUUGGCUAUAUUUAUCCUGAGGACUGAGGUCUUGGCGCCAGACCGUUUAAGACCUGUCAGAGUCCCUCAUAUUCCCGCGUCACAUAGCCAAGGCAAAAAGUCUUCCAGCCUUAAAAACUAAACCGAUCCCCCUCGCCCCCCCAACCCCUGGUCAUGGUCAAUUCCCUCACUUCACUCUUCGCGUUCGUUGAUUCAUUCAUUCAUUCGUCCAUCCAUCUAUUUGUUCAAAUCUGGGUUUAAUCCCGUUGCGUCGCAUCAGUCUUUGGGGGUUUAGAAAUUUGCUCUUCGUCGUGACUGUCUCAUCUCAUUUACCCUAGUCAGUGGGGCCGCGGUCCAGUUCCCUACCCCCGCCAGUUCAACAAAGUCUAACGGAUUGUUGAAAACUAUCAUUAUUUAUUCAUAGCAACAAUCGUUGGCGUGCACUCCUUACCCAAAUUUGCCCCAGUUUUCCUGAUGAUGCCCCCAUACCUACUCAUAUCGACCUACUCUCCUUAAUCCUCAAUUAUUCAUGCGGAUGCUUAUUAUCUAACAGGCUUAAAUAUAUAUUUACGCUACUGCAUGUUUAUAGAAGCAACUGUUAAAUAUAGGACACUCCAUAUGCCUUGUUCAUAAUAGCCUAAAUGUUAUUUCAGCUGGAGAUUAAAUUGAAUAUGGGCUAAUUAACCUGCGCCAAUUACUGCACACUCAUGGACUCCAUAAGGUGAUCUUGGCAGAAGCCUUAAGCCUUAACCUAUCAUUAGGUACUGUAGGCUAAUCAUGUCUGCGGGAGGAUACUGGCUCCGCUGGGAUCCUGGGAUGUGGGAAUUAAGGUCAAUACGAAGAGCACCUUUCACUUAGAUAUAACAGGCGGGAGCGCCAAAUUUAGGGCGGACAGGGAUUUGAAAAUAAUGUUUUUCAAUCUAAUUCGAUGUUUCACCACAAAGAAAAUGUAUCCAGACUAAACGAGUAUGUAUAUUGAUUUAAUUUGAGUGACUAUCGUAAGUCAUUUGUUUAUUCAAAACUGUAAUAUGCUAUAGCCCUCUGCAGUGAGGCUGUCAUUGCCAUCAUUAUAAUGAUUGCAUUCCCUUGUAGGCAACCACUCACAGUCGUCAUUACCUUUAGAAUGGAAUUGUGGGACUUUAUAUCCAUGUUCAUAACCUAGUUAUGUGACCCAUGUAUUUUACAUUCAUUGACCUAACAAUUAUUUUAUUUCUUCAUAGGAAGGGAUACACUUUCACUCUUUAAUUGAAAACUUGACUCACCUGCCGCACCACUGAGACGGUUGAAAACACGAAAUGGUUCGUCGAUCAAAGACAAGUUUUAUUCGGUAGAGUUAUUAAUAUCAAUUUGCUUCUUUUAAACAUAAAACGUUUUUAUGAUGACAAUAUCGACCCACAGUGGAUGCUUUAAAUGCCAUCUUCAUAGAGAAUUGAUUCAGUAGCUAAAGCUUUUUUGAAUAAUACAAAUAAAGUCAACAGGGACAAUUCGAAUAUACUUUUGUGGUUAUGGUAUAGCAGGGCUCGAUCUUGUUUGAGAAUCUUACACCAGUGUUUCCCACACGCCCAAACUACCUGCUUAUUGUAUGGACACAACAUUUUAGUGGGCCAUUAACUAUUUUCAGUUACAUUUCCAACAUCUUGGUUGUAGAACAACUAAUAGACACCAUUGUUGAAAUACAUCUGAUCAGCCCAACAAACUUGUUUAUCUUAACGGCUUACUAGUCACAUAUAAUAUAGCCCACAUAGGGCUAAGUAUUUUAAUUAACGAAUUAACUUGAUCAAUUAAUCUGUUGGAUGACCAUCAAAAAUGUAAAAUAAAGACGUACCAAAUGGCCUGUUGAUUCAAAGUUCAAAUCCAGAUUAUAAUUGGAAUAUGCAUGACUUUGAUACAUUUUACAUUAUUCUUUUUUGACAAUUAAAAACAGACUUUAAACAAUAAUUAAUAGGCUAACACGUGCUCUGGUCUAUAUUUUUUUGUAUAUGAAACAUUGAUGGUUUGUCUAUCGUUUACACUAAAGCCUCUCAUUCUAAACUGACAUUUCUCUUAAUAGCUACAUUUUACAUUAUUGAUACAAAUAUAUUUUUUUGUUAGUUUAUCAUUUAUUAAACACUUUUUACAUAUAAUAAUAUAUAUUAAUAUACUAUAAACAAGUACUCCAACUAUCACUGCAAGAACUGCAAGAAUAUUCAACAUUUCUAUCUGAAGACUGUUGGAACAUACCAGGGAAUGGAGGACUUUUUCAGACAGUCUAUCCUAAUGCUAAACUCUGUAUGAUCUCUCUAAAAUAGCCAUGUCAAUAUUCAAUAACAUUUCUGAUAAUGUGACAUAUCAUAUUUUUGACAUAUUUCGUGUGUCUGACAAUGUCUAAUGAACGCCACAAUUUGAUUAAUAAGCAUGUAAUAGCCUAGAAGGCCUACUGAACAUAAUUAAAAUCUUUAAAAAAAAAUCACUAUCCAUGAGUGUGUCUUAACAACUUAACUGCCAGCCAGAUACUUGUAAAACUAUAUUAAAUAUAUAUUUACAGAGCAGUGUCGUGCCUGUAGCGCUACCCUAUAAGGUCAUAGAAAAAUGUAUACGGUAUCUGAAUUCCUGCCCAAUAUCACACAUGGUAACCAAUAUUAUUUUUUAACUUAAGAAUUUCUGAUCUAAUAAUACAUGUGUAGUAAAGUAAAAAUCCAUGUGAGUGAGGACAAUUACAGAUGCAGUUUGAAGCGAGGGCGAGGAUUUCUUUUAAGGCUGUUGUCAGUGAGAUGAUGCCAGCCAAAGAGGUCAACUAAUGCCAAAUAUGUACAUUAUAUUCUUCCAUAUUACUCCUGAAGGACAAUGCUUAGAUCUUAGAUCUGUGUAACAGUGAAUCACUAUACAGACUGAGUCCUCAUACAAGGUGUGUGUGUGUUUGUGUAUCUGUUUUUCAUUCCUUCAAUAAAGACAACUUCAGUGCUACGGUUGGCCUUUUUCUCAUCCUAUAUGAAUUAUGUUCCAGCUACAAAAAAAGCACUUAAUGAGUUGUUUUGUCUGUACUCUGGUACAUGUCCACAAUCCCUCACACUGAACCCUGAAGCAGAGAAACAAGUCUGUUUAGCUGAUUCAUUAUAUGGUUCAAGGUUUUCUUUUGAAGACAUUAUUUGAAACAGACACAAACUUUUCACUGAAGAAAUUAUAUUGUCUCUUGUCAAUGCUCACUUGAAACAAGUCAUAUUGUACUGACAGUAUAACAGCAGACUCAUAACCAUUUCUGAUUCAUUUAAUAAGGAAUCAGUGUCCAGUGAAUAUGAGCCUUUUUUUUACACAAAACAAAAGAGUUACCAUCACUGAGGUUAGACCUAAAACAAAACUAACUUUGCUGCAUUACUGUUCACAAUGUGAUACAACAAGCAGAAAGUUCAAAAAAUACGGUAUCAUCGUUACCACACUGCAUGUGAUUGCAGGUGUCAAGGGCAGUGUCAUGCUAGGGGCAUUCUAUGAGUUGCUGUAAGCACUAUAAAGCUGCCUUUGGACCAGGCUAGAGGGCAUGUCCAGGUUAAUAAUGAUUCAUGAAGCCUUCAUUAACUAUUGGCAUGCUUCAUGAUUGUCAACAAAGUGGGAUUUAUCAUAUUAUAUGAAAUGAAAACCAUCUGACCAUCACGUGUGAUGGCCUUUGGACUAAAUUGUGCCGCUGAUGCUGCUGCUUUAGCACAACGUCCAUUACGUUACCCAUUCAUUUAGCAUUUGGUAAAGCAAUAAUCAUAUAAUAAAAAAAAGAAGUGUACAAAUCUAUGUGAACUAUCUUGCGGGUUACUUUGUUGUUUUCUUGGUUGGACAGAGUGUUUUCCAAACUUUGUGUUGGUUGGUCAUCCCAUGGGUCUGUCUUGACUCAGUGAUUUUCCCCUGAUCAAAGGCCUAGCAGAGAAUGAGGGGGAGGCCAGCUAACCUCCUGUGUUGUGGACUGUAAGGUGGAUGCAAUAACCUGAAAGGUCAGCAUCUCCCCACAUCAACACUGCCACACUGACCGGUGGAAUGUUCACAUCAGGGUCAGGAGCAUCAGAAGAAGACUAAAAGGAUCCAGCAAAUGUGUUUGUUGUGUCAUCAUAGUGGUCUCUGACUUGUGGUCAGACUCAGUCAGGUGGAACAACAUGACUGAUUUUCUGCUAGCUAGAGGUUAAACUUAAAUGUUUUCCUUUUUUUAAGGCUGAAUUGAAUGUCAUUGGGAAAACAGAAAGGGGUCAUAAUAUACAAUAUAUAUUUUUGCAAACAUUCUUUAUGAAUAUAAGGGUUACCAACACAUAAGGUAAUCAUCUAGUUUUUCUAAAGUGUCUGUAAUCUGAUUACAAUAUUUUUGCUAGUAACGUAAUUGAUUAGUUACAAUUUGGUUGUAAUCAGAUUACAUGUAAUCAGUUACUUCCAAACACUGGUGGGAGGGGUAUACCAUCUUUACCAUCGGACACUAAUCAACUGAUUAUAAAAAAAUGACAUACUCUCUCCAUUGCUUGUUGAAGGUGUUUGAUAUAGGCUGUUAAAUUGAGGUGGGUUAACAAUAUGUAUUUGUCAAAGGCUCUGGACAGUGAGACUAUCAGUAUCUGUCAGAUGGAAUGCAUUAUCUCAGUAACCAGAAAUAUGUGUAAACAUCUUGGGAACAAUUUGCUCAAAAUAUUAAAGGCAAAGUUUUUUCAAAUUA
Molecule: long non-coding RNA, 7197 nt
Organism: Oncorhynchus nerka (sockeye salmon)
Lineage: Eukaryota; Metazoa; Chordata; Actinopteri; Salmoniformes; Salmonidae
Exons: 2
Source: RefSeq, a predicted model, not a curated record